RNAcentral lists this ribosomal RNA (245 nucleotides) under uncultured bacterium. Its description in RNAcentral is "partial small subunit ribosomal RNA". It matches the Rfam family "Bacterial small subunit ribosomal RNA", at positions 26 to 285 of the family's 1533-position model. The record is from RNAcentral.
AGAAUCAACGCUGGCGGCGUGCCUAACACAUGCAAGUCGAACGAGAAAGUGGAGCAAUCCAUGAGUAAAGUGGCGCACGGGUGAGUAACACGUGACUAACCUACCCUUGAGUGGGGAAUAACCUAGAGAAAUCUGGGCUAAUACCGCAUAAUACCUUCGGGUCAAAGGGGCAAUUCGCUUAAGGAGGGGGUCGCGGCCGAUUAGUUAGUUGGCGGGGUAAUGGCCCACCAAGACUAUGAUCGGUA